CGCGAAGGCAAGCGGAUCUCUUAAAGCUGUUCUCAGUUCGGACUGCAGUCUGCAACUCGACUGCACGAAGCUGGAAUCGCUAGUAAUCGCGGAUCAGCACGCCGCGGUGAAUACGUUCCCGGGCCUUGUACACACCGCCCGUCACACCAUGGAAGUCUGCAAUGCCCGAAGCCGGUGGCCUAACCACUUAUGUGGAAGGAGCCGUCUAAGGCAGGGCAGAUGACUGGGGUGAAGUCGUAACAAGGUAGC
Molecule: ribosomal RNA, 249 nt
Filed under: uncultured bacterium
Lineage: Bacteria
Description: partial 16S ribosomal RNA
Rfam family: Bacterial small subunit ribosomal RNA
Source: RNAcentral